Juglans microcarpa x Juglans regia is the source of this 1849-nucleotide long non-coding RNA. RefSeq lists it as uncharacterized. Lineage: Eukaryota; Viridiplantae; Streptophyta; Magnoliopsida; Fagales; Juglandaceae. The record is from RefSeq and is a predicted model, not a curated record. The transcript is spliced from 2 exons.
CCGAAGACUAGGUUCCAUUUGGUAAAGUUUCCAAACAAACCCUAGGGUUACCUCAAAUCAAAGCGCCUAUUAAAUUUUGAGAAAAUCCGGGUUUGACAUAGUUCUUGCUCGGCUUCACAAUAUCUCCUCUGGAGAUCCUUUUUCAAUCCGAAGCUCAGAAAGCAUCCCUUGGUAGCUUGAUCUGUGCUUUUUAUUUUAAACCUCCUUUAACAUUAUAAGAUGUCCUAGGUUUGAAGAAAGAAAAACUUGAGCUUACAACUGAGUGAUAUGUUUCUGCUGCCUGUAAUGCCCUCACAAUGAUUUCAGGAUUUCCCUUUAUAGUGAAAAUGAUGUAGUUGCUCGGGGGUUUUUGGCUCAGGUGGUAGAGGGGUAAUUAUUAUCAGAUUUGUUCUUGGGUUUGAAAAAUGUUUAUCACAACAAUGACGUGCUCAUUUUUGUGCACACAAAAAGGUUUCUUUUGUUUUGAGGUACUUCAUCUGUGCAUUCAACCAGAGUUUUUGUGCUUUUAAACUGUGGGUUUUACAUAAGGCUUUAUCAAGAUUUGUCCAAAUUAUAUCCUCUUCAGCAUUCCAUGGACCUUUGGAUUUCUCUUUCAUUCCUUCCGUUUGCUAAACUGGUCGACUGCGAACAGGAUGAAAGCAUUGAAUGUAGUUUCUGGACUAUUUAUUCUCAUAAAACUUGAAGAAAUACUCAUGGAAGAGAGAACCAAAGGUUCAUCGAGUGCUGAAUAAGUUAUCUAUAGUAUUGCCUUAUGUGAUAUGUUGUUUGGUUUUUUAUAUUAUUUCUAUUGAGUUGAAUUAGGGUUUGGGAAGUUUACUUAUCCUACACUGGUUAACCAUCUCGUUGUUGAAUUUGACCUGCCUAAAUGUAAUCACUGACCAGGUUUACUUAUAAAAACAAAAUCCUAGGUUGCUCUUAAAUUUGAGUUCUCACCUCUAUCUUCUAGUCUUCAUCUUGAUGUCCAACUUCAAUGUGAAUACACAUGUAGCCUAUUAGUAUUGGCUGUCUUUUGUUCCCUCAUAUAUUGCCCUAAAAGAUAUCUCGCAAUUUCUUUAAAUCUUUUUAGCAUCCUUGCCUAACUUGAGGGAUCAUCAUUAAAAUUGGGUGCUAGCUUCUUUGCUAAAAAAAACUUUAAAUCUUAGUUGGUCUUGGUUAAUGUUAUAUGGAUUGUAUAAAAUUGCUGCCUGUAAAUUGUAUGAAUGGCUUGGUUUUUGAAAUAUGUUUAGGCGAGAGUGAUGAUAGAUCCUUCUAAGAGGUUUACCACUUUUUGUAUUCUUGUCCUUUUCAAGAAGUUGUUAAAUUGAUCUUUUACCAAGUUUCUCCUAUGGAUCAAUGAUGUUUGUAAGAAACUGCGUUAUCUAUCUGUAAUUUCCUAGAUGGAAUUGAAGAUAACCAUAACAUUCUGAGAUCCAAUGUUAUUGUAAUAAAUAAUUUACAAUUAUUUUUUCCUGAAAAUUCUCUUUUUGUUAUCAUACACUAUUAGUAUUAGUAGCAGUUUGGACACCAUAAGUUUACAAAAACAUCAGACAAGCAUGUUGACAAAUUCAGUGGUUUUUUGUUGUUUUUUGUUGCUUAAGUUUCGAUUGUUAUAUUAAAGAGAGGUGUGAUUAACUGAAUUGUAGAUAGUAUUCACUACAUGUGCACUCUCUCUCUCUCUCUCUCUCUCUCUCUCUCUCUCUCUCUCUCCCUCAUUGCCGAGAUGGUUAAUUUGAAUGGGAUUAUCGUUUUGUCUGAAAAAAAUUCUCCUUUAGGUCGAGAAGAUAAAUCCUAUACUGUGUUGUGUCUCCUGUGAGAAUUCAUAGUUUGUAGAUGAUUUAAUCCAUAGGCUGCGAAGGAAUCUGUGUUACUC